This 26-nucleotide non-coding RNA is filed under the name Mus musculus (house mouse). The record is from RNAcentral. Lineage: Eukaryota; Metazoa; Chordata; Mammalia; Rodentia; Muridae.
UGACAGUCCUCAACUCCACUGGAGAG